GAUGAAGAACGUAGUGAAAUGCGAUAAGUAAUGUGAAUUGCAGAAUUCAGUGAAUCAUCGAAUCUUUGAACGCACAUUGCGCCCGCCAGUAUUCUGGCGGGCAUGCCUGUUCGAGCGUCAUUACAACCCUCAGGCCCCCGGGCCUGGCGUUGGGGAUCGGCGGAGCCCCCCGUGGGCACACGCCGUCCCCCAAAUGCAGUGGCGGUCCCGCCGCAGCUUCCAUCGCGUAGUAGCUAACACCUCGCGACUGGAGAGCGGCGCGGCCACGCCGUAAAACACCCAACUCUUCUGAAGUUGACCUCGAAUCAGGUAGGAAUACCCGCUGAACUUAAGCAUAUCAAUAAGCGGAGG
RNAcentral lists this unclassified non-coding RNA (351 nucleotides) under soil metagenome. RNAcentral describes it as "partial contains 5.8S ribosomal RNA, internal transcribed spacer 2, and large subunit ribosomal RNA". The stretch from base 1 to 120 matches the Rfam family "5.8S ribosomal RNA", at positions 35 to 154 of the family's 154-position model. The record is from RNAcentral.